This 402-nucleotide ribosomal RNA is filed under the name uncultured bacterium. RNAcentral describes it as "bacterial SSU rRNA". It matches the Rfam family "Bacterial small subunit ribosomal RNA", at positions 28 to 434 of the family's 1533-position model. The record is from RNAcentral.
GACGAACGCUGGCGGCGUGCUUCAUACAUGCAAGUCGAACGAGAAGCUCUCUUCGGAGGGUGGAAAGUGGCGGACGGGUGAGUAAAAUGUAGAGAAUCUGCCCUAGAGAGGGGGACAACAGAGGGAAACUUCUGCUAAUACCCCAUAUGCGCGUAGCUGAGAUGCUAUUCGUGAAAACUCCGGUGCUCUAGGAUGAGUCUGCAUCUGAUUAGCUAGUUGGGGGUGUAAUGGACCACCAAGGCGACGAUCAGUAGCUGGUUUGAGAGGAUGAUCAGCCACAAUGGGACUGAGACACGGCCCAUACUCCUACGGGAGGCAGCAGUAGGGAAUAUUGGGCAAAUGGGGGAAACCCGUGACCCAGCAACGCCGCGUGAAGGAAGAAGGCCUCGGUUGUAACGUUAC